This 490-nucleotide ribosomal RNA is filed under the name uncultured bacterium. RNAcentral's name for it is "partial 16S ribosomal RNA". It matches the Rfam family "Bacterial small subunit ribosomal RNA", at positions 30 to 507 of the family's 1533-position model. The record is from RNAcentral.
AUUGAACGCUGGCGGCAGGCCUAACACAUGCAAGUCGAACGGUAACAGGAAGCAGCUUGCUGCUUUGCUGACGAGUGGCGGACGGGUGAGUAAUGUCUGGGAAACUGCCCGAUGGAGGGGGAUAACUACUGGAAACGGUAGCUAAUACCGCAUAACGUCGCAAGACCAAAGAGGGGGACCUUAGGGCCUCUUGCCAUCGGAUGUGCCCAGAUGGGAUUAGCUAGUAGGUGGGGUAACGGCUCACCUAGGCGACGAUCCCUAGCCGGUCUGAGAGGAUGACCAGCCACACUGGAACUGAGACACGGUCCAGACUCCUACGGGAGGCAGCAGUGGGGAAUAUUGCACAAUGGGCGCAAGCCUGAUGCAGCCAUGCCGCGUGUAUGAAGAAGGCCUUCGGGUUGUAAAGUACUUUCAGCAGGGAGGAAGGGAGUAAAGUUAAUACCUUUGCUCAUUGACGUUACCCGCAGAAGAAGCACCGGCUAACUCCGUG